GUCGUAACAAGGUUUCCGUAGGUGAACCUGCGGAAGGAUCAUUAUUGAAUAAACUUGGUUGGGUUGUUGCUGGCUCUUCGGAGCAUGUGCACGCUCACUCCAUUUUUAACCACCUGUGCACCUUGUGUAGAUCUGAACCACUCUCGGGGAAACUCGGUCAGAGGAUUGCUGUGUAUAAAAGCCAGCUUUUCUUGGGUUCAGAUCUAUGUCUCUAUAUACUCCAUAAGAAUGUAUUAGAAUGUAAUUGAUAGGCGUUAUAGCCUUUAAAAUCAAAUACAACUUUCAACAACGGAUCUCUUGGCUCUCGCAUCGAUGAAGAACGCAGCGAAAUGCGAUAAGUAAUGUGAAUUGCAGAAUUCAGUGAAUCAUCGAAUCUUUGAACGCACCUUGCGCUCCUUGGUAUUCCGAGGAGCAUGCCUGUUUGAGUGUCGUGAAAUUCUCAACCUCUCUGGCUUUUAUAAGCCAGUUAGGCUUGGAUCUUGGAGGUUGCUGGCUUCUCAGAAAUCAGCUCUUCUUAAAUAUAUUAGCAAAGUCUUUGCUGACCAUCUUUGGUAUGAUAAUUAUCUAUAUCAUUGAGAAUCAGCUUCCGUCUUGGAAGGGUUUUGCUUCUAAUGGUCUGUAUAGACAACUUGACAAUUUGACCUCAAAUCAGGUAGGACUACCCGCUGAACUUAAGCAUAUC
RNAcentral lists this ribosomal RNA (682 nucleotides) under Entoloma platyphylloides. Its description in RNAcentral is "eukaryotic LSU rRNA". The stretch from base 278 to 431 matches the Rfam family "5.8S ribosomal RNA". Lineage: Eukaryota; Fungi; Basidiomycota; Agaricomycetes; Agaricales; Entolomataceae. The record is from RNAcentral.